RNAcentral lists this ribosomal RNA (253 nucleotides) under uncultured bacterium. RNAcentral's name for it is "partial 16S ribosomal RNA". It matches the Rfam family "Bacterial small subunit ribosomal RNA", at positions 524 to 776 of the family's 1533-position model. The record is from RNAcentral.
UACGGAGGGUGCGAGCGUUAUCCGGAAUCACUGGGCGUAAAGGGCGCGUAGGCGGUCUGUUAAGUCCGUUGUCAAAUCCCAAAGCUCAACCUCAAAACGGCAGUAAGUACUGGCAGGCUGGACGGCUGGAGAGGCGAGUGGAAUUACCAGUGUAGCGGUGGAAUGCGUAGAUACUGGUAGGAACACCCAUGGCGAAGGCAGCUCGCUGGACAGCUCGUGACGCUGAGGCGCGAAAGUGUGGGGAGCGAACCGG